Long non-coding RNA from Gallus gallus (chicken), 5159 nucleotides. NCBI's taxonomy places the organism in Eukaryota, Metazoa, Chordata, Aves, Galliformes, Phasianidae. The record is from Ensembl.
UAAAUAUAUUCCUUUGCUUUCCAUUUGUUCCUUCACUCUUGGCAAGAGAAAUGCAGUGAAGGAGCAGAGAAGUGCUGUGGAGAAGUUCUGCUCAGUUGUUAUCCAAGUCCCUUGGCACAAGGUAUACAAAAAACUCCAGAGAAGCCAAACCCAGAGCUAUCUGUCAGCAGGCUCUGAGAAUCAGUGGUCUGUAGCUGCCUGCAGAUUCUCCAUUUCCCCCACUCGCUCAUCAUCCCCUGCAAUAAUUGCUUUGCCAAUAAGAAAGGAGUUGAUGGGACCAUAUCUAAAACAAAAAGUCACUGUUUUUCUUCUGGCAAGUGGGGUAGCGUUCUGCCAAGCUCCAUCCACAAAUGAAAUUGUGUAUUUAAUGUAUCCUCCUUGUAGGGGACAGUGAAGACUUUCAACACAUUACCAUACUGUUUGGGCUAACUUCUGUCUUCAAGACUUUGAACAUAUCUCCUGAGCUCCCUACAGUCACUUUCAUUCCUGGUUGGUUAAUGCUUGGCUCUUCUUAGGUUGAAUGAAAACCUAUUCAGUCUUUCUCAGACAAAACUCAUCAACAACAAGAGUGAUGCACCGCAACAGGAUUUCUCAGCACCAUUUCACUGAAACAAUAAUGAUGGCAUCAUGUAUUUGAAAUAGUAUCUUGCUGAAAUGAAUGUGAAGGUUUGUAAGGAUUGCUACAUGUGCUGUAUGGUCUGAGAUGGAUACCCUCUACUCUGCUGGUGCAAGGGGAAAUGCAAGAGAUCUCUGCUCCUGGGUGAUUUUGUCAAGGCUAUCAUAAUAAGCAGAUGAUUGGAAACACUGGCAAAAGCUUCAACUUUUUAUUUAAAUUGAAUUGAAAAAAAAUGGUGCAUAACAAACUUGCUCAGUUUAAACCUUAGCUUUGUAACCUGCUGGUAAAGACAUCUUUAGAUGAGGUAGCCAUGAACAACUGAGCAUAGUUCGGAAUCCAAAAUGACUUAGUCUGUUGAGCUACAAUGACAAGUCAUUUUUUCAUUAGUAGUUUCUUUGCUGAUUCCAAUAACUCCUGAAUUUGUAAAUUCAGGUCAUCUCAUUUGAACCAUACAUUUCAAGUGAAUAUUAAUUUGAUAAUUUAAACUUCAACACUGCCACAUUGGUGUUUGGUGUAUAUCUUUAUCUGUCUAUCACUUUAAAAACAAGUCCUGAAUUUUGUAAAUGUGUAAAAAUACAAAUAAGUCAAUGCAUGAACUUCCCAGCCUUCUCAAUGCUGUUUUAAUUCCACUACUAAACAAUAUCAAUAAGGAUUAUUUUGCUAUUUGCCAAGUCAGAGGUCUAGAAAAACUAAUGGAAAGGUCAUAUUUUAUACGGCUACUAAGUUGUCUGAGGAAUUCACCAAUUCCCUGAGUUUAAUUUUUUUUUUUUUUUUUUUGGUACUGAAAGGUUAAUUCAAAUGACAAUAUGUUCUAUUCGUGUUUACAAGGUAAAAAAUGAAAUAAAAGGCAUUCCCUUACAUAAAAUGACAGGUAAAAUACCAAUUUUGUUAGGGAUAGCUGGAGAAUUUCCAGAACAAAAACCUUCAAUUCAUCUGUGAUUUAUUUUUUUUUCCUAAUGAAUAUAAAAGGGGUUAGCAAAUCAUUUAUUUUCAGAAGAAGUUUCCAAUUAAAGCUAAAAAUAUAUAUUUAUCAGAAAUUAAAACAGUCUUUAGCGAUUGGAUAAAUAUUGGGCUAGAUCUCUAUUUAAAAACGUUUUCUUAAAUAAAAUGGGCUGAUAUUCACUUGAAUAAAUAAUAACUGACACCUCUGAGAGUCAGCUUAUUCAGUUAGGUGUACCUAAAGACCCUCUGAGGUUAUGGCAUCAGCAGAUUGGUCUAAGAAACAAACACCCCUGUUUCCAGUCCUUUAGCCCAACCCAAAGGAUCCAGUGUCCUCUGGGUUGGGCUAAAGGACUGGAAUCCUUAUAUGAUCCAGAGAUCAUAUCUCUGUUUGCCAGAUGUAGUAGUUCCCAGCCUUUCGAUCAGCUCCAUGAAACUCCUGGGAAUUUCACCCCGCAAAUAAACUGUGAAGAUCUAGCAGCUAUUAAGCUAUUGACUAACUAGAGAUGUUCAGGCAGUGUACUUACAGACAGCGACCAACAACCAGUUGGAGACAAUCAGGCUGAUUUUCCUGUGGAGUGGGAGAACAUCACUGAUGACUGUGCUCAGAUGUGACUCCCCAGCAUGUGGGAUGUUUGAGGAAAAAGAAGGGUAUGGCAGGGUUGAUUCUGUAGCCCUGAAUGAGGUCACUGUUUGUUUAUCCAUGAAAAUGGAGGUCAGCCUUAAGUUAUAUGAAGGUAUAGAAUGUUUAAUCAUCAUCACCUUCUCUGGAGAGGUUUUUGUCCUCCACCCCCUUCCCUUCUUUCUCCUGCUCCUCUCUGUUCUUCUUCCUUUCUGAUGGCGUGCAAGGAGUCAAGUUCCUCUGAAGUACCUCACAUCCUCACCUUAUCCAUCUCUUGUUGAGACAACCAUGCUUUCUCUCCCAUCUUUAGUUGUGUUGCAGGUACCUUGAUUCAGUUUUGUCUGACUCAAUCACUCAGCUAGCUUCCUUUGCCUCAGGACAGUCAUUGUCAAUGGCUUUGGGGAAUCUGUGCUGGAGCACUGGAGCACAGCAGUGAUGUGGUUUGCCUGAACUAUGCAGGGCAUGGUAAGGGUUAUGAAUUUUUGGCAUUUCCCCCAUGUUUUUCCACGAGCAUGGCCCAGAAAAAGCCUCCAACUAAGCAAUGUAAACAUUUGAGGAAUGUGACCUGCAGAGUGCUGCCACAUGCCAUGUAGCAGGAGAGCACAGAUACAGCCAAUGAUUUGAGAUAGACUGUCUAACUGAGCACACUGCUUCACUGGGGCUCACGUUUGCAAUGCUGUACAAUAUUUUCGUUAUAAAAUAACACACAUAUCAGUAAUAAAAUGAAAGCUUCUGUGGCAAGUGAUGAGAGUUAAAUUUCUGCAAGUAAGGAUCAUGACAUUUUUUGUCUGAAAGCAUUUAUAGGCAGUAUUAAACUGAUUAAAGGAUGUAAGAAAAGAAUAUCAUUUUUAAAGUUUCAGCAUUUCUGAGAGGCCCAUGAAAUCACAAUUUCAACCCACAGCCUUCUUAAGACACUAAAAACAUUCCUUUUUCUCAUCAGAAUGUAAGUAAAACCUUUGAAGAGUAGGAGGACUGAAGUAAAAGAUCAGAAGAAGUAAAAGACCCAUGGAGAACAAGAAGUAUGUAGGGCAUUUGCUUGGCAAAUCAGAAACAGGUAGUCAUUUUAGGGCUCUGCCUUAUUCAGGCUGGGGAUUAAUCCUCAUUGGAAUAAUGCAGAAUAGAUCCUCUCAUUUUAACCUAUGUCCAUUUAGAAACUCUGAUAGGAUAAGGAUAUUAUUAUUUACUAUAAUUCACUGAAUACAUAGUAAGCGUAAGCUCUGAUAAUCUCACUGCAUUUCUGCACACCUUUCCUUUGAAAAAGCUUUUCUUGUCAAAAGUAGGUUUUGAACUGGUAGCAUCAUGGAACUGGUUGGAAUUCCAGUGAAUAAAUAAGAAGUCCCUCCCCAAAUACAAGUUUAUAAAAAUGAUUCGUUAAUAAUUUGAAAUAAAUGAAGCUUCACUCUGUCCAGAUGUAACAGAACAAAAAGUAGAUAAACAAAGUACAACUAAAUACAGAUAUCCCCUGCCUUAUGUUGGUACAACAGUCUUGAAGCCAGUGUUUUUCAGUCCUAAAAUAAUGAGUUUUGUGUGCCUGCCCCCAGUACGUAAAACAUUCACACAGACAUGUAAACUGUAAGAAUAUAUGGCACAGUUGCCUGACGUGAGUAUUUCAGACAAAAGUUUUUAGAAUGCCUGAAUGUAAGUUUUCUGAAUAUUUACUUCUACUGACAUAACAUAUUUCCCUCUGUAGAAGCCGAAGGCAACGAAUUCAUUAUUUAAAAUGGAGCCGUCAUGAAGCAGCUGAAGCUCUUGGUAAUCCAAUCCUCGAUUAACACAUCAACAAUCAGUAGUUUUAUUGUUGUGAUGGGCCCUUAUGGAGUCAUAAAUUCACAUCAGUAGUGGUGUUAUUCAGAGGUUAGUAGCUGCUCCAGUAUUUCCAAUUUUGUACUUUCCCAAACUAAUUGUCAUGAAGAUAUGUGGCAUUUUAAAAUACUGUGGAGCUUGAUUACCGCAAACCCAUGGAUAGAAAUCUAUGGCUUUGUCAAUUUGCCCAAGCUUAGCAUUUGAUCCAUUGUACAGAACAGAUCCAGGCAAACAGAAAACUUAAAGCAAUGAAAGAGGAAACCAGUGCCAGUAUUAGAAAGACCUAUCCAAUCCAGUAAUUCAUUUACUGUCAGAAUAGAAAAUGAUAUAUGAGUCUCUGGGUUAGGAUAUAGAAAUUUUAUCUAGAAAACAAGUUUUUACUGAUGAACUCAGCUAACAGAGCUGGAGAAAGAAAGCAAUCUGAGCUCGUCAUUGUCUUAGCUGAAAAAUAAAUAAGCAUUGAUGAGUAUAAUUAGAAGUGACAGGCACGAAAAUACUGUGAAAUUCAUAUACACUUGAAUGGAUACAAUUUUUUUUCUCCUUGACUACCUUUCAUAAUGUUUCAUUAACCUUGGUGGAUAACUUCAGCAAGGACAUUUAUUCACCAGAACCACGGAAGUUGGGCCGUUGUGUAUUGGUUAUGUAUAAAGAUGUUUUCUGUUCUGCCAGGAAAGCUCCUCUUCCAUUCCCUUUCCUUUUUCACUGGUUUCUUUUCUUUUCUCCUGAUAUUUUUUUGAUGCUGUGCAACUUCUUAAAAAAUAAAGGUCUUUAAUGUGUGUGUUCUAUAGCAAGCAGUAGAGUGCAAUUCUUUGACGCAUAUAUUCCAGGUCACCUUCUUCUCAUAUUUUUGCAUCACCUAACAUCACCUAACAUCUCCAUGGCCAUGAUAGAUUACUACCUCAUCUACUAGAUAAUUUUCUUUGACAUAACCUGCCCCUAUGUGUCUACACAGCUGAACUGAAAUGCCUUAAAAGUUAGAAAACUGGGUAUUUUUGGCAUCCUUUCCCCGACUCCAAUCUUCUCUGACCCAGCUUCUCCAGUUUUGCUUUCUGACACUGCUGCAGUUCUGUCUAGGAACCUGUUGCUGUCCCCACUUCACCCCGUGCAAUUCACAUGAACCUAGUGUCUCCCAGCUUUCAGGCAAUGAUUCAUACCUCCUACCUAAGCCUUAAGCUGUCA